This 324-nucleotide long non-coding RNA is filed under the name Nicotiana benthamiana. RNAcentral's name for it is "long non-coding RNA (NBEN_LNC016751)". Lineage: Eukaryota; Viridiplantae; Streptophyta; Magnoliopsida; Solanales; Solanaceae. The record is from RNAcentral.
UUUUCUUUCAAGUAAUGAAUCUCAGCUUGAUAUGUUUUUCCUUUUCUCCCCAUACUAAUGUUUCUUGGAUUUUGUCUUCGAAGGCUUAAACAUGAGGUUUUUUGGUGAGUCUUUUGGGUUCGGGUUUCAGCUCAGCAUUCACACAAGACCUCUUCUCAAACCAAGCAUUAUAGUGUGGAUCCACCUCUCCUUUUGCGACAUCUGGUAUCUGGGUGCCAUUUUUUAGAUACUGGCAACUAAUUCCAAUCCUGUCGAACUAAAGCUUCGGGCAAUGCGGCUUCCAGAUGCAACUCUAUAACUUGAGUACUUAAAUCUUCAUCUUUG